Molecule: transfer RNA, 77 nt
Filed under: Ignavibacteria bacterium
Lineage: Bacteria; Pseudomonadati; Ignavibacteriota; Ignavibacteria
Description: tRNA-His
Rfam family: tRNA
About the family: Transfer RNA (tRNA) molecules are approximately 80 nucleotides in length. Their secondary structure includes four short double-helical elements and three loops (D, anti-codon, and T loops). Further hydrogen bonds mediate the characteristic L-shaped molecular structure. tRNAs have two regions of fundamental functional importance: the anti-codon, which is responsible for specific mRNA codon recognition, and the 3' end, to which the tRNAs corresponding amino acid is attached (by aminoacyl-tRNA synthetases). tRNAs cope with the degeneracy of the genetic code in two manners: having more than one tRNA (with a specific anti-codon) for a particular amino acid; and 'wobble' base-pairing, i.e. permitting non-standard base-pairing at the 3rd anti-codon position.
Source: RNAcentral
GUGAACGUAGUUCAGUUGGUUAGAACAUCAGAUUGUGGCUCUGAGGGUCGGGGGUUCGAAUCCCCUCGUUCACCCCA